CGAAGGGAAACCGAGUCUUAACUGGGCGUUAAGUUGCAGGGUAUAGACCCGAAACCCGGUGAUCUAGCCAUGGGCAGGUUGAAGGUUGGGUAACACUAACUGGAGGACCGAACCGACUAAUGUUGAAAAAUUAGCGGAUGACUUGUGGCUGGGGGUGAAAGGCCAAUCAAACCGGGAGAUAGCUGGUUCUCCCCGAAAGCUAUUUAGGUAGCGCCUCGUGAACUCAUCUUCGGGGGUAGAGCACUGUUUCGGCUAGGGGGUCAUCCCGACUUACCAACCCGAUGCAAACUGCGAAUACCGAAGAAUGUUAUCACGGGAGACACACGGCGGGUGCUAACGUCCGUCGUGAAGAGGGAAACAACCCAGACCGCCAGCUAAGGUCCCAAAGUCACAGUUAAGUGGGAAACGAUGUGGGAAGGCUCAGACAGCCAGGAUGUUGGCUUAGAAGCAGCCAUCAUUUAAAGAAAGCGUAAUAGCUCACUGGUCGAGUCGGCCUGCGCGGAAGAUGUAACGGGGCUAAACUGUGCACCGAAGCUGCGGCAGCGACGCUUAUGCGUUGUUGGGUAGGGGAGCGUUCUGUAAGCCUGCGAAGGUGUCCUGUGAGGGAUGCUGGAGGUAUCAGAAGUGCGAAUGCUGACAUAAGUAACGAUAAUGCGGGUGAAAAGCCCGCUCGCCGGAAGACCAAGGGUUCCUGUCCAACGUUAAUCGGGGCAGGGUGAGUCGACCCCUAAGGCGAGGCCGAAAGGCGUAGUCGAUGGGAAACGGGUUAAUAUUCCCGUACUUGGUGUUACUGCGAAGGGGGGACGGAGAAGGCUAUGUUGGCCGGGCGACGGUUGUCCCGGUUUAAGCGUGUAGGCUGGUUUUCCAGGCAAAUCCG
Molecule: ribosomal RNA, 877 nt
Filed under: Salmonella enterica subsp. enterica serovar Kentucky
Lineage: Bacteria; Pseudomonadati; Pseudomonadota; Gammaproteobacteria; Enterobacterales; Enterobacteriaceae
Description: partial 23S ribosomal RNA
Rfam family: Bacterial large subunit ribosomal RNA
Source: RNAcentral